Long non-coding RNA from Capsicum annuum, 614 nucleotides. RefSeq lists it as uncharacterized. Lineage: Eukaryota; Viridiplantae; Streptophyta; Magnoliopsida; Solanales; Solanaceae. The record is from RefSeq and is a predicted model, not a curated record. The transcript is spliced from 2 exons.
UUUUCCAAAAAAUAUUUUCCUUCAUACCAAACACACUUUCUAUCAAUGUCAAAAUAUCAAUGCUAAAUUGCCGACACGGUGCACCUAUUUUUCUAAGUGGAAUAUUAUAUCUUUGAUUUUUGGGAGAUAUCAUUUAAGAUCUUCAUCCCUCGUAUGACGAUAUUAUUGUAGAAGAAUAACGAGCUUGGAUGUUCAGUCUUUGAAGACAUGACUCUGGGACUGAUUCUCUUUAAAUAAAGAAGCCAACGAAGGGAAGGAUCUCAUCAAGAUAUUUAACAGAGCUUCUUGCCAGGUGAAAAGAGCAUAUUGCUAAUCUUGAUUCUAUGAUAGGGUCCAAAUCAACGUGUAAAGCUUAUGCAGAAAAAAUCAAGGAAGGAAUAAGAAAGUCUAGAUUAUUAGAACUAUAACUAUAGAUGUGAGACACUGGACGUGUUGUAAAUAAAUUCUGAAAUUAGAGAGCCAAAUAUGAGUGAAAGAAGCACAAUUUUUGAAGGAGGACAAAUAAGUUGCCUUGGACAGAAUUCUUUUAAGCAACUCUAAUUUCAUGUCUUCCCUUAAACAGUCUUUGUGGAAAAAUUGUCUAUAAUCCUUGGAGAAUGUAUUUUGAAGUGUUA